Molecule: long non-coding RNA, 1840 nt
Organism: Solanum dulcamara
Lineage: Eukaryota; Viridiplantae; Streptophyta; Magnoliopsida; Solanales; Solanaceae
Exons: 2
Source: RefSeq, a predicted model, not a curated record
UUGGUGGUACCACGUAUAGCAAAAGAUCGUGAGACAUAUUUAAAUCGAUAGAUAAAUGACAGGUGAAGGACCAGGUUCCUUGUUUGUGGCAACCUAUUGAAUGAAAUAAUCAAGCCUUUUCCUUUUUAGCAAUUAUGCAAAAAUAUGUUGUUGUUUUUUCAAGCAAAAGAAUUUUAUUCAUCUUCCAAAACACACAAUUACAGCUGGUUGAGACAGAUACACAACCCAAGUUUUCCCUUCAGGUGGAAGAUGGGAUGAUCUAUCGAUAGAUUAAUGAAGGCCAUAUAUAAAGCAAAUCACAAGCAUUUGGGGUAUAUUUGAACCCUUGUCCAUUUUAAAUAAGAUAGGGUAUGUUAUAUGGACUCCUCUAUUUCUCUCAUUUCCAAAGUGUACGCGCCAAAAUAAGCAAUCAAAUGUCUACUUGUUCAUCUGUCUGCCGUCUGAAAGGCAUCUUCGCCGGGAACGACAGAGCAAUAAAUCAUCCCAUUACUUCUUCAAGACCCACCGAUCGAGCCCAAGCAAUUGUGGACUCUUUCAAAAAAUCAUCGGAAUGCCCCAAAUUCCGACAGAAACGCUUCCAAUAUGUAAAUGCCAUUCGCCAACUUACCGAAGGCAAACACUUCUCCGGCAUUAUAGAUAUCAUCGAACAUAAAAAAAAAACUAUGCUGAUAUUCGUAAUGAAGGCUUUGUUGUCCGUCUUACUACUCUCUAUGGGCAAGCGAAAAUGGAUCAUCAUGCACGUAAGCUGUUCGACGAAAUGCCUCAACUAAAUUGUCCGCGCACUUUCUUUUUCAAUGCCCUUCUGGAAGCAUAUUUUAAGUCAGAGAAAUAUGAUAAAAUUCACAGCUUGUUUCACGAAUUGCCCCCGAAAUUGUCAAUUAAGCCUGAUCUGGUGUCGUAUAACACUGGGAUUAAGGCAUUGUGCAGGGCUGGUUUGCUGGAUUCUUCUGUGUAUUUGAGGAUGAGAUUGAAAAUCAUGGGAUUAAACCGAAUGUUGUCACUUGUAACACAUUAUUAAACGCAUUUCAUGAAAGUAAAAGGUUUUCUGAAGCUGAAAGUUUGUGGCUUAUGAUGGAAAAGAGAAAUAUUAUCCCUGAUCUUUGCAGUUACAUUAUUAAAUUAAUUAGUUUGGUUAAAGCUAACGAGGUUUCAAAGGCGAUUCAGUUCUUCAAUGAGAUUGUUAACAAGGGUUUCAAACCGGACACCUUCAGUUACAGUGCUGUGAUAAAAAUGUAUAUUACUGAGGGGAAUCUGGAGGAGGUCAACAUGUGGUAUGAGAAGAUGACGCAAAAUGGAUGUCUUCCAGAUAAUUCAACUUUUACGAUGCUUAUUAUUUUUUCUUGUAGCGCCAAAAAAAAUGAUUUUUCUCUGCAUUUGUGCAAGAAAGCAAUGAAGUCACGCAAAGCUAUUUGUAAUAGAACAAUGCAGAUGGUUGUCGAUGGUUUGGUUGAGCAUUCUAAGAUUGAAAAUGCGAGAAAGCUGGUUAAGUUGGCCGAGUCUUAUAAUUGGUUCCGGUACGAGCUUUCCUUGCCUUUGCAUAACUAGAUCUUUCAGCUAUGUUUUAGUCUUUUGAUUUGAUCAUUUACUCGAGCUUGACAAGCUUGAUCUUGCCUUGAGCUGAAGUGAUGAAAGGGUUGAGGAAAUUGGUGGAGCAGUACGCGGAGAAGAAGGUAUCACAAUAUGUGAAGGGGAGUCUUGACGCAUCGAUAAAACAUUUGGCUAGUUACUAUUGUUGACUAGUAAAUUUUUAUAAAAUUAUGUAUUUAUGAAAGUUUGUAAUAACAUGUAAUUACAAUCAUUUAUUUAUAAAAUGAAAAUGGAGAUAUAUGAUUUUUCAGUA